GUGAGGAAUAUUGGUCAAUGGGCGAGAGCCUGAACCAACCAAGUCGCGUGAAGGAAGAAGGAUCUAUGGUUCGUAAACUUCUUUUGCAGGGGAAUAAAGUGCAGGACGUGUUCUGUUUUGUAUGUACCCUGAGAAUAAGGAUCGGCUAACUCCGUGCCAGCAGCCGCGGUAAUACGGAGGAUCCGAGCGUUAUCCGGAUUUAUUGGGUUUAAAGGGUGCGUAGGUGGUUUGAUAAGUCAGCGGUGAAAGUUUGCAGCUUAACUGUAAAAAUGCCGUUGAAACUGUCGGACUUGAGUGUAAAUGAGGUAGGCGGAAUGCGUGGUGUAACGGUGAAAUGCAUAGAUAUCACGCAGAACUCCGAUUGCGAAGGCAGCUUACUAAGCUACAACUGACACUGAAGCACGAAAGCGUGGGGAUCAAACAGGAUUAGAUACCCUUGUAGUCC
Molecule: ribosomal RNA, 445 nt
Filed under: uncultured bacterium
Lineage: Bacteria
Description: partial 16S ribosomal RNA
Rfam family: Bacterial small subunit ribosomal RNA
Source: RNAcentral